AGAUAACAAAAAAGGUCUUUUAACAAUAAGUUAUUAAGGAUUCAAAUUGUUCAGGUAUUAGAGAAUUGAAUUAUAGCAGAUGUCAGAUCCUUUAGAUAAUGUACUGGACUUACCUUAAAAGUUGAUGCCAUAAGUAGAUCUUGAAGCUUAGGGACUAUGUCGUAUGAUACAAUGUUGAACACACCAUCAAGAUGAACGGACUUCUUAGU
RNAcentral lists this long non-coding RNA (209 nucleotides) under Nicotiana benthamiana. RNAcentral's name for it is "long non-coding RNA (NBEN_LNC018550)". The record is from RNAcentral. Lineage: Eukaryota; Viridiplantae; Streptophyta; Magnoliopsida; Solanales; Solanaceae.